RNAcentral lists this small RNA (16 nucleotides) under Arabidopsis thaliana (thale cress). Its description in RNAcentral is "ATSL218200". The record is from RNAcentral. Lineage: Eukaryota; Viridiplantae; Streptophyta; Magnoliopsida; Brassicales; Brassicaceae.
ACUUCCAGGAAUCUAU